CCCAGGUCAGGCGGGGCUACCCGCUGAAUUUAAGCAUAUCAAAAGCCCGGAGGAA
Molecule: ribosomal RNA, 55 nt
Filed under: Cyathophylla chlorifolia
Lineage: Eukaryota; Viridiplantae; Streptophyta; Magnoliopsida; Caryophyllales; Caryophyllaceae
Description: partial 28S ribosomal RNA
Source: RNAcentral